AAGACUCUGACGGUACCCCCUGAAUACAGUGACAGCAAACUAUGUGCCAGCAGCUGCGGUAAUACAUAGGUCGCGAGCGUUAUUCGGAUUUAUUGGGCGUAAAGCAAGCGCAGGCGGAUUGAUAAGUUCUGUGUUAAAAGCAGCUGCUCAACAGUUGUUUGCACCGAAUACUGUCAGUCUAGAAUGUGGUAGGGAGUUUCGGAAUUAAAUAUGGAGCGGUGGAAUGUGUAGAUAUAUUUAAGAACACCAGAAGCGAAGGCGGAAACUCAGGCCAUUAUUGACGCUUAGGCUUGAAAGUGUGGGGAGCAAAUGGGAUUAGAUACCCCAGUAGUCCACACCGUAAACGAUGGGUAUUAGAUGUCGGGUUUUAAUUCUCGGCGUUGUAGCUUACGUGUUAAAUACCCCGCCUGGGUAGUACAUAUGCAAAUAUGAAACUCAAAGGAAUUGACGGGGACCUGAACAAGUGGUGGAACAUGUUGCUUAAUUCGAUAAUACACGAAAAACCUUACCAAGGUUUGACAUCCCCCGCAAAGCCAUGGAAACAUGGUGGAGGUUAUCGGGGUGACAGGUGGUGCAUGGUUGUCGUCAGCUCGUGUCAUGAGAUGUUUGGUUAAGUCCCGCAACGAGCGCAACCCUACUCCUUAGUUACCUUUUCUAGGGAGACUGAACAGUAAUGUAUAGGAAGGUUGGGAUCACGUCAAAUCAUCAUGCCCCUGUAUGCCUUGGGCUGCAAACGUGUUACAAU
This 745-nucleotide ribosomal RNA is filed under the name uncultured Mycoplasma sp. Its description in RNAcentral is "bacterial SSU rRNA". It matches the Rfam family "Bacterial small subunit ribosomal RNA", at positions 463 to 1231 of the family's 1533-position model. The record is from RNAcentral. Lineage: Bacteria; Bacillati; Mycoplasmatota; Mollicutes; Mycoplasmatales; Mycoplasmataceae.